Molecule: long non-coding RNA, 586 nt
Organism: Dipodomys spectabilis (banner-tailed kangaroo rat)
Lineage: Eukaryota; Metazoa; Chordata; Mammalia; Rodentia; Heteromyidae
Exons: 4
Source: RefSeq, a predicted model, not a curated record
CUGCGAGGAGCCGCGCCUUGUGGGAAGCGGGCUUCCGGCUUCGGGUCAGGGUCUGGGCCGAGGCGCGGCUGGCAUCAUGUCCGGCCGCGAGGGUGGCAAGAAGAAGCCCCUGAAGCAGCCCAAGAAGCAGGCCAAGGAGAUGGAUGAGGAAGACAAGGCCUUCAAGCAGAAACAGAAAGAGGAGCAGAAGAAACUCGAGGAGCUGAAAGCGAAGGCCGCGGGGAAGGGGCCCCUCGCCACAGGUGGAAUUAAGAAAUCUGGCAAAAAGUAAGCUGUUUCUUGUUCCUGAGAUGAUGGUGACCCUUGAUUCCAUUCCCAUUCAACAUCUGGAUUUCCUGUCGUAACAUUUCUGCCACCUAUAGGUAGAAUGAAGUUUUGUCUAGGACUCUGAACAUUAAGAACAACCUUUAAAAAAAAAAAUCCUACAGUGGCUCAGUCUCUAGUUUGUCAGCCAUUGUGUCAGCCAUUGCUACCUCAGCUGUAAAUUUCAAGUAAACCCAGCCUAGGUUCCUGCCAGAGUCUGCUCUUUGUUCUACUCUUGCAUUCUGUAUCAUCUUGAAAGUAAACCAACUCAUUUAAAAGGCUG